Molecule: ribosomal RNA, 511 nt
Filed under: uncultured bacterium
Lineage: Bacteria
Description: partial 16S ribosomal RNA
Rfam family: Bacterial small subunit ribosomal RNA
Source: RNAcentral
GACAAACGCUGGCGGCAUGCCUAACACAUGCAAGUCGAACGGACAGAACAGGGAAGCUUUUCGGAGUGGAACUGGAAAGUUAGUGGCGGAUGGGUGAGUAACGCGUGGACAACCUACCUUGUAAAGGGGAAUAACCUCGAGAAAUCGAAGCUAAUACCCCAUAAUAACCUUGCUUCGCAUGAAGUAAGGAGGAAAGGCGGCCUUAGCGCUGUCGAUACAAGAUGGGUCCGCGUCUGAUUAGCUAGUUGGUGAGGUAAAGGCUCACCAAGGCGACGAUCAGUUGCCGGCCUGAGAGGGUGAACGGCCACAUUGGGACUGAGACACGGCCCAAACUCCUACGGGAGGCAGCAGUGGGGAAUCUUCCGCAAUGGGCGAAAGCCUGACGGAGCAAUGCCGCGUGAGUGAAGAAGGCCUUCGGGUUGUAAAACUCUGUCCUUAUCGAAGAGAGAGUGUUGUAGUAACUGACAAUACUAGGACGGUAGAUGAGGAGGAAGCCCCGGCUAACUAUGUG